This 568-nucleotide ribosomal RNA is filed under the name uncultured bacterium. RNAcentral describes it as "partial 16S ribosomal RNA". It matches the Rfam family "Bacterial small subunit ribosomal RNA", at positions 355 to 933 of the family's 1533-position model. The record is from RNAcentral.
UGGGGAAUAUUGCACAAUGGGCGAAAGCCUGAUGCAGCGACGCCGCGUGAGGGAUGACGGCCUUCGGGUUGUAAACCUCUUUCAGCAGGGAAGAAGCGAAAGUGACGGUACCUGCAGAAGAAGCGCCGGCUAACUACGUGCCAGCAGCCGCGGUAAUACGUAGGGCGCAAGCGUUGUCCGGAAUUAUUGGGCGUAAAGAGCUCGUAGGCGGUUAGUCGCGUCUGCUGUGAAAACUCGAGGCUCAACCUCGGGCUUGCAGUGGGUACGGGCUGACUAGAGUGCGGUAGGGGUGACUGGAAUUCCUGGUGUAGCGGUGGAAUGCGCAGAUAUCAGGAGGAACACCGAUGGCGAAGGCAGGUCACUGGGCCGCAACUGACGCUGAGGAGCGAAAGCAUGGGGAGCGAACAGGAUUAGAUACCCUGGUAGUCCAUGCCGUAAACGUUGGGCACUAGGUGUGGGGUCCAUUCCACGGACUCCGUGCCGCAGCAAACGCAUUAAGUGCCCCGCCUGGGGAGUACGGCCGCAAGGCUAAAACUCAAAGGAAUUGACGGGGUCAUGGCUGUUUCCU